UGCAGUACCGUGUGGCGGGAGCGAACCCGCGCCCGGCAGUGGCGGGGGCUGCUCCCAGCUUCAGGCUGUCACGGACCUGCCGCCUCCUCCUACUCCGCAUCCGCCGAGCCUGCCCGGGUCCGGGCGCUUGUCUAUGGGCACCACGGGGAUCCAGCCAAGGUCGUCGAAGGUAUAACCAGGGAAUUGUUUCAGAGGUUUCCUUGGAUAUUCCUACAACUGAUAACAGCUGCCAUUUCUUCAGCAUCUACUGUAACCAUAAUUCCUGGGCACACAUGGCAGCUCAGAAAUGUUGCCUGACCUACUUUGGGGAGAUGAUUUGAGCGAAACACCCAUUCUAGCCUGCAUGACAUGAACAUCUCUGUUUGGCUUUGUGCUUAGACUCAAGAACCUGGAGCUAGCUGCUGUGGGAGGAUCAGAUGUCCGUGUGAAGAUGCUGGCGGCCCCUAUCAAUCCAUCUGACAUAAAUAUGAUCCAAGGAAACUACGGACUCCUUCCCGAACUGCCUGCUGUUGGAGGGAAUGAAGGUGUUGCACAGGUCAUAGCGGUGGGCAGCAAUGUGACCGGGCUGAAGCCAGGAGACUGGGUGAUUCCAGCAAAUGCUGGUUUAGGAACCUGGCGGACCGAGGCUGUGUUCAGCGAGAAAGCACUGAUCCAAGUUCCGAGUGACAUCCCUCUUCAGAGCGCUGCCACCAUGGGUGUCAAUCCCUGCACAGCCUACAGGAUGCUGAUGGACUUCGAGCAACUGCAGCCAGGGGAUUCUGUCAUCCAGA
Molecule: small RNA, 770 nt
Filed under: Pongo abelii (Sumatran orangutan)
Lineage: Eukaryota; Metazoa; Chordata; Mammalia; Primates; Hominidae
Description: processed transcript
Source: RNAcentral